GAAAAUUAUAAUAAAAAAAUCCAAAAUCAAAUCUGGAAUCAAAUUUUAUUUCAGCUCGUGAACUGGCCUCAUAUAAAUUACAACUUUCAAAAAUAUUUUUGUUAACCCUAAAUAUAUCAUGAUAUUAGAAAUGGAAACAUUUCAUCUGGGCCAUUUUAAAAUUUUUGUUGAAUUGGAUAACGAUUAUAUAAAUUUCAUUGUGUUUUAUAGAAGCUUCAUUACUUUAAUUAUUACAAUCAAGACUUAUUUCCAUAAUUAUGUGCCUUUUAUACAUCGAAAAUGUUCAUUUGAAAGAAGUUGUCAUCAUCAUUGAGACAUUUAAGGAAAUUUGAUUUAUUAAAUUAUAGUUUAUACACGACACAAUGUAUCUUCUAUCUAAGAGUUAAGAAGCCUCCGUCAAUCUAUUUUUAUACGACCGUCGUCGUCGCCGUCCGAAGACACAUUGGUUUUCGCACUAUAACUUUAGUUUAAGUGAAUGGAUCUCUAUGAAAUUUUACCAUAAGGUUAAAUACCACAAAAGGAAGGUUGGGAUUGAUUUUGGGGGUUAUGGUACCAACAGUUAAGGAAUUAGGGGCCAAAAAGAGGCCAAAAAUAAGCAUUUUUGUAACUUCCAGACAUAACUUGUGUGUUAGAGUAUGGAUCUCUCUGACAUUGUACCACAAGGUUCCAUAUCACAAAGGGAAGGCUGGGAUUGAUUUUGGGGGUAAUUGCCUCAAAUUUUAGUAAUUAGGGGCAAAAAAAGGGGCAAAAAACAAGCAUUUUUCUAGUUUCAUGACAAUAACUUGUGUGUAAGUGUAUGGAUCUCUCUGAAAUUGUACUACAAGGUUCCAUAUCACAAAGGGAAAGCUGGAAUUGAGUUUGGGGGUAAUUGCCCUAAACGUUUAGGAAUAAGGGGCCAAAAAGGGGCCAAAAAUAAGCAUUUUUCUAGUUUCCAGACAAUUACUUGUGUUCAAGUGUAUGGAUCUCUCUGAAAUUGUACUGCAAGGUACCAUACCACAAACGGAAGGCUGGGAUUGAUGUUGGGGGUAAUUGCCUCAAUAUUUUUGGAAUUAGGGCCCAAAAAGGGGCAAAAACAAGCAUUUUUCUAGUUUCAAGACAAUAACUUGUGUGUAAGUGUAUGGAUCUUUCUGAAAUUGUACUACAAGGUUCCAUAUCACAUAGGGAAAGCUGGGUUUGAGUUUGGCGGUAAUUGCCCUAAACGUUUAGGAAUUUGGGACCAAAAAGGAGCCUAAAAACAAGCAUUUUUCUAGUUUCCAGACAAUAACUUGUGUUCAAGUGUAUGGAUCUCUCUGAAAUUGUACUGCAAGGUACCAUACCACCAUGGGAAGGCUGGGAUGAUUUUGGGGGUAAUUGCCUCAAUAUUUUAGGAAUUUGGGGCCAAAAAGGGACAAAAACAAGCAUUUUUCUAGUUUCAGGACAAUAACUUGUGUGUAAGUGUAUGGAUCUCUCUGAAAUUGUACUGCAAGGUUCCAUAUCACAAAGGGAAAGCUGGAAUUGAGUUUGGGGGUCAUUUCCCAAAACGUUUAGGAAUUUGGGGCCAAAAAGGGGCCAAAAAUAAGCAUUUUGUUAGUUUCCAGACAAUAACUUGUGUUCAAGUGUAUGGAUCUCUCUGAAAUUGUACUGCAAGGUACCAUACCACAAAGGGAAAGCUGGGAUUGAUUUUGGGGGUGAUGAAUCAUAAGAGGGUUCAAAAAAUUUGGGGGAGGUUUUUUUUUUCCCUUUUUUUCCUUUUUUUUUCUUUAAAAUUUUCCAUUUUAAAUUGGUUAUUUCUGAUUUAUAUAUAAAAGCAAAUAAUAAUGAUAUGGUUUCAAUAGGUAAAUUCAAAAUUUUUAAGUUCUUAAACCACAUUCAUUCUGUGUCAGAAACCUAUGCUGUGUCAAAUAUUUAAUCACAAUUCAAAUUCAGUGCUGUAUCAAGCUUGAAUGUUGUGUCCAUACUUGCCCCAACUGUUCAGGGUUCGACCUCUGCGGUCGUAUCAAGCUGCGCCCAGCGGAGCAUUUUAUUCUAGUUUCCAGACAGUAACUUGUGAUUAAGUGUAUGGAUCUCUCUGAAAUUGUACUACAAGGUUCCAUACUACAAAGGAAAGACUGUAAUUGAGUUUGAUGGUAAAUGCUAAAAGGGGAAUUUAAAAAGUUUGGGGGGAAAGGGGGGGGUUUCC
Mytilus californianus (California mussel) is the source of this 2158-nucleotide long non-coding RNA. RefSeq lists it as uncharacterized. NCBI's taxonomy places the organism in Eukaryota, Metazoa, Mollusca, Bivalvia, Mytilida, Mytilidae. The record is from RefSeq and is a predicted model, not a curated record. The transcript is spliced from 3 exons.